CAUAUCAAUAAGCGGAGGAAAAGAAACCAACAGGGAUUCCCCUAGUAACGGCGAGUGAAGCGGGAACAGCUCAAAUUUGAAAUCUGGCCCUUGGGUCCGAGUUGUAAUUUGCAGAGGAUGCUUUUGGUGCGGUGCCUUCCGAGUUCCCUGGAACGGGACGCCUUAGAGGGUGAGAGCCCCGUACGGUUGGCCACCAAGCCUGUGUAAAGCUCCUUCGACGAGUCGAGUAGUUUGGGAAUGCUGCUCAAAAUGGGAGGUAUAUUUCUUCUAAAGCUAAAUACUGGCCAGAGACCGAUAGCGCACAAGUAGAGUGAUCGAAAGAUGAAAAGCACUUUGAAAAGAGGGUUAAAUAGCACGUGAAAUUGUUGAAAGGGAAGGAUUUAUGACCAGACUUUUUCUGGGGGGAUCAUCCGGUGUUCUCACCGGUGCACUUCCCCCAGUGGAGGCCAGCAUCGGUUUCUGCCGGGGGAUAAAAGCUUCGGGAAUGUGGCUCCUUCGGGAGUGUUAUAGCCCGUUGCAUAAUACCCUG
RNAcentral lists this ribosomal RNA (529 nucleotides) under Sordariomycetes sp. Its description in RNAcentral is "eukaryotic LSU rRNA". It matches the Rfam family "Eukaryotic large subunit ribosomal RNA", at positions 39 to 578 of the family's 3401-position model. Lineage: Eukaryota; Fungi; Ascomycota; Sordariomycetes. The record is from RNAcentral.